This 102-nucleotide microRNA precursor is filed under the name Marmota monax (woodchuck). Lineage: Eukaryota; Metazoa; Chordata; Mammalia; Rodentia; Sciuridae. The record is from RNAcentral.
AGAGGGAUAGCUGGGUCAAAUGGUAUUCUAUUCCAAGUUUUCCAAGGAAUCUCCAUACUGCUUUCCAUAUUGGUUGCACCAAUUUGCAGUCCCACCAGCAGU